ACUGUCGGAAGAGAAGACAAAUG
This 23-nucleotide non-coding RNA is filed under the name Cricetulus griseus (Chinese hamster). Lineage: Eukaryota; Metazoa; Chordata; Mammalia; Rodentia; Cricetidae. The record is from RNAcentral.